RNAcentral lists this long non-coding RNA (880 nucleotides) under Equus caballus (horse). Its description in RNAcentral is "lncRNA (ENSECAG00000049106.1)". Lineage: Eukaryota; Metazoa; Chordata; Mammalia; Perissodactyla; Equidae. The record is from RNAcentral.
CGUGUGAAUGCAAUUGCUCUCAUUAAGUUUAAACCCCACACCCUCUAAUUUUAAAGCUAUCCAUUUAUGCACGUAUUAGCAGCUAUUCUGUGCCAGAUGCUGUGCAUUCAGCUGGAGACACCUCAGAUUCCAUGCUCUUAUAGAGCUCCUGUUCUAGUGCAGAAAUGUAGGCGAUGGGCUAACAACAGCUAGUCUGCAGUACUUGAGAAUUACGUUUCUAGGUUGCAGAAAUCUUUCCAGGAGCUUCUAAAGAAGCUGAAGAAGGACUCAGGUUUGGGAACAAUGGAGAGAGAGCACUUGGAACAUUGCUAAACUGAGAAAAUGAAGGUAGGGGCCAAGAAUUCACUUUGCACAGUUGGAGACAGCAAGGAAGAGACCCUCCAGGAAAGCAGAAAAGAUGACUAGAAUCCAGGCAAAUAAGCCUUGAUUUAUCCCCAGCUUGCCAACCCAAACAGAUUUUAUUGUUAUGUGCUGCUUUUUGCUGGAGUCCACAUGAAAAGUAGAUAACUUGAGCUUUGCCAGGAUUGGUUUAAAGAAUCAGGUUGCAGGAGUCUGUAAUAUUGUUGAGGAAAUGGGGACACAGAAUGGUUAAGUGACAUGCUUAGGGUCCCACAAGUAGUGGAUGGAAGAGCUGGGAUAUAAAACCAAUGCCCAAACUUACUUAUCCUGAACUGUCGCUCCUUUGACUUGAAUAUUGAUCCCUGGAUUGGACACCUGGACACGGACUCCUCUUCAUCUACUUGUAACAUGGCCCUUCAUACUACCACCUAGUCCUACCUAAUGUUUCAUAGUGACUUUUUUUUCCUUUGCUCUCACAGUGUUGACAACUACAUGUGUCUUUUCCAUACAAAUUGGUUUUUGUCUGUGACUUGGCCUGCUA